UUCCGGUUGAUCCUGCCGGAGGCCACUGCUAUUGGGAUCCGACUAAGCCGUGCGAGUCGAGAGGGUUCGGCCCUCGGCAGACUGCUCAGUAACACGUGGAUAAUCUACCCUUAGGUGGAGGAUACUCUCGGGAAACUGAGAAUAAUACUCCAUAGGUCUAGGAUGCUGGAAUGCACCUAGGUUGAAAGUUCCGGCGCCUAAGGACGAGUCUGCGGACUAUCAGGUAGUAGUCAGGGUAAAGACCUGACUAGCCUACGACGGAUACGGGUUGUGAGAGCAAUAGCCCGGAGACGAUAUCUGAGACACGAUAUCGGGCCCUACGGGGCGCAGCAGGCGCGAAAUCUUCACAAUGUGCGAAAGCACGAUGAGGGGAUCCCAAGUGUUGGUUCGUAAGAGUCAUCUGUUUCUUUGUCUAAAAAACAGAGAGAGUAAGAGCUGGGUAAGACGGGUGCCAGCCGCCGCGGUAAUACCUGCAGCUCAAGUGGUGGCCGCUAUUAUUGGGCCUAAAACGUCCGUAGCCGGUUUAGUAAAUGCCUGGGUAAAUUGUGUAGCUCAACUAUACGAAUACCGGGGUAGACUGCUAAACUUGAAACCGGGAGAGGCUAGAGGUACUCCCUAGGGUAGAGGUGAAAUUCUGUAAUCCCUAGGGGGACCACCAGUGGCGAAGGCGUCUAGCUAGAACGGGUUUGACGGUGAGGGACGAAGCCCUGGGGCGCAAACCGGAUUAGAUACCCGGGUAGUCCAGGGUGUAAACGCUGCUCGCUUGAUGUUAGUCGGGCUCCGAGCUCAACUAGUGUCGGGAGAGAAGUUGUUAAGCGAGCUGCCUGGGAAGUACGGUCGCAAGGCUGAACUUAAAGGAAUUGGCGGGGGAGCACAGCAACGGUGGAGCGUGCGGUUAAUUGGACUCAACGC
This 912-nucleotide ribosomal RNA is filed under the name uncultured archaeon. Its description in RNAcentral is "bacterial SSU rRNA". It matches the Rfam family "Archaeal small subunit ribosomal RNA", at positions 1 to 918 of the family's 1478-position model. The record is from RNAcentral.